AGACAAGAUUCCGGGCCCUACGGGGCGCAGCAGGCGCGAAACCUUUACACUGCACGCCAGUGCGAUAAGGGGACCCCGAGUGCACAGGCAUAGAGCCUGUGCUUUUCUGAACCGUAGGGAGGUUCAGGAACAAGAGCUGGGCAAGACCGGUGCCAGCCGCCGCGGUAAUACCGGCAGCUCGAGUGAUGGCCGAUCUUAUUGGGCCUAAAGCGUCCGUAGCUGGCCUUGCAAGUCCGUCGGGAAAUCCACCCGCUCAACGGGUGGGCGUCCGGCGGAAACUGUGAGGCUUGGGACCGGGAGGCUUGAAGGGUACGUCCGGGGUAGGAGUGAAAUCCCGUAAUCCUGGACGGACCGCCGAUGGGGAAACCACUUCAAGAGAACGGAUCCGACAGUGAGGGACGAAAGCUAGGGUCUCGAACCGGAUUAGAUACCCGGGUAGUCCUAGCUGUAAACGAUGCCUGUUAGGCGUGACUCCCACUACGAGUGGGUGUUGUGCCGUAGGGAAGCCGCUAAACAGGCCGCCUGGGAAGUACGUCUGCAAGGAUGAAACUUAAAGGAAUUGGCGGGGGAGCACUACAACCGGAGGAGCCUGCGGUUUAAUUGGACUCAACGCCGGACAUCUCACCAGCAUCGACUGUGGUAAUGACGGUCAGGUUGAUGACCUUACCCGAGCCACAGAGAGGAGGUGCAUGGCCGCCGUCAGCUCGUACCGUGAGGCGUCCUGUUAAGUCAGGCAACGAGCGAGACCCGCAUCCUUACUUGCCAGCAGCACCGCGAGGUGGCUGGGGACAGUAGGGAGACCGCCGUGGCUAACACGGAGGAAGGAACGGGCAACGGUAGGUCAGUAUGCCCCGAAUAUGCUGGGCAACACGCGGGCUACAAUGGUCGAGACAAUGGGUUCCAACGCCGAGAGGCGACGGUAAUCUCAGAAACUCGAUCGUAGUUCGGAUUGUGGACUGAAACUCGUCCACAUGAAGCUGGAUUCGGUAGUAAUCGC
Molecule: ribosomal RNA, 997 nt
Filed under: uncultured archaeon
Lineage: Archaea
Description: bacterial SSU rRNA
Rfam family: Archaeal small subunit ribosomal RNA
Source: RNAcentral